GCAAGUCGAACGCGAAAGAGUUCUUCGGAACUUGAGUAGAGUGGCGCACGGGUGAGUAACGCGUAAGUAAUCUGUCCUGGCAUCUGGGAUAACUGGCCGAAAGGUGAGCUAAUACCGGAUACGUCCUACGGGGGAAAGACCGCCUCUGAUAUAAGCGGUUGUGCGAGGAGGAGCUUGCGUACCAUUAGCUGGUUGGUGGGGUAACGGCCUACCAAGGCGACGAUGGUUAGCGGGUCUGAGAGGAUGAUC
RNAcentral lists this ribosomal RNA (249 nucleotides) under uncultured bacterium. RNAcentral describes it as "partial 16S ribosomal RNA". It matches the Rfam family "Bacterial small subunit ribosomal RNA", at positions 57 to 305 of the family's 1533-position model. The record is from RNAcentral.